CUCAGAUAAUGUCUGUGGGGAAGCAAGGCAGGGUCCAGGCUUCUUUCCCUGCUUGUUUAUCUUCCCUUCCUAGGAGCCUCAUUUGUGCCUGGCAGAUAAGUUAGUCUCAGUGUUGUGGGUCUUGGGUAGUUAUCUCUGUUGUUUGAAACGAAAAGCCAGCCGGAGACUGUAGUGGACCAAUAGUCUAGGAACAGACAGAAUUCUCCAUUACUUCUGCAGUUUGCUGGCAAGGACUCCUGGAGCAAACUAACAGGAAUAUGGUGGUGUUCCGGUCACUUGUUUGUGUGUUUUUAUUCUCUGAAUGAUUUUAUUGAGGGAGCUGAGGCUAUGUACAAUGUAAGGAGAUUCAGAAGGGAGGUGAGUUGGUGCUACAGAGCUGGAUUUGUUACUGGAGCUCAGGAAGGUUCUUUGGGGAACAGAGGAAGGCAGGGGACAUUAAAAGUGGGCAAAGAAGAUGAUGGAAUUUUGGAAUUGAUGGGGGAAGGGGACUAGUGGUGAACAAAUCAAGUAAGACGACUUAAGUUUAGACUUCGGCUUAGGCAGGGGUUUCAGGUGAAACCUGGACUUCUGUGAAGACAGGAGCAGCAUACUGAGGUGAUUUAGGGCUUCAGGAAUGAGGAUGGAGGUGGAGUUUCAUCAUCUGCCCAUAAUAAAAGGGGCAGUGUGAUUCACCCUCUAAAUCUACAAAAGAAAGGUAUGUGUUAAGAUAUGGAUCUCAGGAAUUGUUGUUUUUAAUGACAGACUCAAAAUGACCAAAUCAAAGCACUGGACACCAUCUAGGGUCUUCUAGAUUGAAGUCUCUGAGUGGAAGGUAGGGCCCUUGGCGCUGGGGCAGAAGGUGAAAUCUGACCGCAACAGUAACAACUACAAGUUGAGACACAGCAGAGAAACAGUCAGGUGGGGUGAGCAGAGAAAGAAUAAAUGCUUCACUGGCCUUGGUAUCUUUGCUAGGCAAGGGCAUCAGCAUGGGUGGGUGGGGCAGAACACACAGCUGGGCCUCUUCUCAAGGAAGGUGCCUAGUCUCCAGGCACUGGGGUGGAAAGCCAGCCCUACCUUCAGGGCCAGACACUGAGAGUCUAACUUUAACAGGAAGGCCUGUUUGGAUUGGGUAGCAGUUUGUAACCCUGGAAAAACUGUACCAUGAAUAUUUGUUGGGAAUCUGUGUCAUCCUGUCUAUUGGUCUGAGAGGCAUCUGUUACAUAAACUACUUUAUUUUCUGCCAUUUAAUGUGACUUGUCAAUUCAAAAUCCUAUUCCUGUGACUAUAUGAAAACAUUCAAUAGAAUCUGUUACUUGAGCAUUGUCCAUACAGUUAAAAGUUCUAUAAUUAAACUACACAUCAACAUCUGCAGUUCCCUCACCUGUUGUCAGUGAGAAAAGCUCACUUGGUUUAAAAAAGAUGUAUCUAGCUCUUAUCAGCUCCCUGUAAAGUACCAGUGCUUCAACAAGAGGAGACAUCAUAAAUAGGACCUGUCAGAAGUGGAGAACUGGAAACACAUGGACCAAUGAGAGGAGAAGCAGAAGGAAGAGCCAGUUUGGAGGGAAGAUGAUUAAGUUUUGUGUUUGACAUGAAAUUUCCAAAAGUGGGUUCCAGAAUUUCCAUCUCAAAGAUGAGGAUAUGAAACCUUUUUAAGGGUCCAUAUUCACUGAAGAAUGAUACCCUGGAAUCAAAUAGAAGCCCUUCUCUCACCUUGGCCAUUGAAUCUUUAACAUCCCGAGAACGGUUUAUAUAAAAGCAACACUCCUCAGCUAAGAUAGCACAUAGCCCUCCUUGCUGGAGGAAAAGCCAUGGUUUGAGCUGCUCUGGUUUCAUUCACGUAGAAGGAAAGGAAUCCCGACGAACACAUUUGGUGAUGAUAGUGGCCAGCAAAUCUCCUGUGAGUGGCUGCUGUGGGUUGAGAGCCAUGGAAACACCUCGAUAAACAGGAAGCUGUCAGUCUGGUCAAGAGUCAGGCAGUCUUGGAAGUUUCCUGCCAGGAUGUUCACCAGAGAGGAGCAGCCUGACCGAAGCAUUUGCUCCUCAGGACUUCCUUUUAAAAGAAGUUGAUUUCAUGUCACACAAUCUCUGUGGUCUUGGGGGACUCCUCCCCCCAGAUUGCAAUAUUCACGAGUGAUUCAGGAGGGAAUGAUUCAAUCGUGUCUAAUUGUACUGCACAUGACAUUGAGGAACGGCCUUCCAAAUCACACAGGCUUGCAGUACAUCAGUGUGGCAGGGCAGGCUGCCUGGGGAUGAGUUUUAGUACCAGCACUUGCUAGCAAGGCGACCUUGUUUCUGGGAGAGAUAAAUGACAUGAUUGCUGCACAGAAAGCAGCAUAGCAUUUGGCUCAAGAAAUGAACACAGAUUCCCAUCAGUUCUUCCUUGGACGUCUUUCCUGGUGCUGCUCUAUGGCUCCAGCCACUGCCUAGUGUUGCAUCACCUUAGGCUAAGUUCACAGCUAUCUCUGUAGUAUAGUUCAAACUCGGAGAGAAUACUUUAAAGUAUAACAAAAUAUCUCAAAGCUGGGUGAUCAUGAGGAAGGCUCACCAUAGUGGCACAGUGUGGAGGUUGACUAGAGACAUGGUAAGUUGGAAGAACGACAGACAUUCCUUCUAGGUGGAUGCUAGGCAGCAAAGCUUGGAACAGCAUGAAAAUAAGGCCAGAGCAAAACAAAGCAAAUAUAACUUUUAAAGACUUGUAUUGUAUUGUUAUAGCUUUCUUCCCACCCACUGUCUAGAUUUUCUUAGGACAUCUGGUAUACCCCGUCCUAACAUGUUUUCAUUCCUGGUGGUGACCUUUACCACCUAGAAAUGCAAGCUAGCUGGAUAGCACAACUCCAGUGAAGCAAUAGGGCAUACUUAUUACUUCAUGGUUCACAUGCCCCAGAUCCUAAUUUCACUUUUUUCAAAACAGCACAAGAAUCUCCUCUCUCUCUCUCUCUCUCUCUCUCUCUCUCUCUCUCUCUCUCUCUCUCUCUCUCUCUCUCUCUCAGAGUCUAGUGUAGUUUACAAACGACUGGAAUCAAUUGGCAGAAGCCUUCCAAACUGUGUACCCAAAUAAAUGGCUACUCUUCAUAAGUUGAUCUGUCACAGACAUUCAUCACAAUACCAGAAAUGUGAUUAGUGUACCUCACACAAAUGGUGGGAAACUAACACAAGUAGACUUGUUUAUAACACUAGGGGAGGAUUGCUACUUUGAUCUCAAAGUCAAAUGUAGUCUGGCCUAACUGCCAGCCAAGCUACAGACCCAGACAAGAGAACUUCACUCCCCAGUGACAAAAAACAUAAAGCAAAGGACUCUCAGCUGGCUGAGGAUGGAAGAAUGCAAUCUAAGGAAAAUCCCUGUCAGUUAUGAACCCACCUUUAAGUAAUUGGCAUCUAUGCAUCUGGGAUGUUCACCACUGGAUAAGACUGAACUAGCCCAGGCACCAUCAAGAAGGGAUGCUAGAGGGAGGAGGUGGGAAGAGCUGUUAUCAGGAGACAAUUUGGUCUUUAGAACAUAAAUCCUCCCAGUGGGUAGAGAUCGUGGGAAGAUCUGCAGGAAAUGUUGUCAGGGUACCACUUCCCAAGUCCAUGUUUCCUGGGGAUAAUUUAAAAGUUUAAAAUUGGAAAAGGAGCCAGAC
This is a long non-coding RNA of Mus musculus (house mouse), 3599 nucleotides long. RefSeq annotates it as predicted gene, 38600. NCBI's taxonomy places the organism in Eukaryota, Metazoa, Chordata, Mammalia, Rodentia, Muridae. The record is from RefSeq and is a predicted model, not a curated record. The transcript is spliced from 6 exons.